UACAGAGGUCUCGAGCGUUGUUCGGAUUCAUUGGGCGUAAAGGGUGCGUAGGUGGCUAGGUAAGUCGGAUGUGAAAUCUCGGGGCUCAACCCCGAAACUGCAUUCGAUACUGCGGUGCUCGAGGACUGGAGAGGAGACUGGAAUUCAUGGUGUAGCAGUGAAAUGCGUAGAGAUCAUGAGGAAGACCAGUGGCGAAGGCGGGUCUCUGGACAGUUCCUGACACUGAGGCACGAAGGCCAGGGGAGCAAACGGG
Molecule: ribosomal RNA, 253 nt
Filed under: uncultured bacterium
Lineage: Bacteria
Description: partial 16S ribosomal RNA
Rfam family: Bacterial small subunit ribosomal RNA
Source: RNAcentral